GAAAAGAAUUAUCUCCUUGUGAUGACCAAAAGAACGGGAUGAGGAAGCAGACAACAAGUGGCAGAACGUCUUCUAUAAGAAAGCCACCUGAUCCCACAAGCCUGGGGAAGUCUUUAAGACCACAGGCUGGGCCAGGUAUUUAAGGAAUGGCCCUGAGGACCUGAGGAAAAUCAAGGUGAUGUCUUCCCCCAGACUCAUCCCCACCUGGAAGGAUUUUAGCUACCUCAUAAAUGACAUCAUACAAAAAAGCAAGGAAUCUUUAGAUGACUCAAAGAGUGAAACAGUUGUGCUAAGUGACCGGUCCCAGACACUAUUCAAAGAAUCUCGACAUCCUCAAAAUAUGCCACUUAUAUGCCAUUACUUCUGUGAUGCCGACUUCUUUGCCUCCCUCUCCUGGGUGACACCCCACACAAAAGAAAUGCAGGCUAUAGUGUGGACAAAGAGCAAAUCUGAGGACAUGGUUGAGAAGAGAGCUUUCUCCAUGACCGAGCGACUGCCACCCAUCCAGUCAAUGGCGCACACAGGUUCCUUCCAUAUCCUCGUGGCCUACUGUGGUGACAUGAUCCUGCGCCUCUUCGGGGACCACUUUCGGGCGUUCAAACCCCUAGCCACUGUGCCCUGCCGCUUCAACAUCAACUGUCUCUGCUAUGACCCAGAAAUGAAGAUGCUUCUGUCUGGCACCCGGGGGUCAGUGGUCAGCUGGGUCAUUGAUCAAAGUGGCAAGGGCCUGCAGAUGGCUCACACGAUUUCCAUGCCUGGUGAUGAGCUUGUCCAGGACAUCGUGCUGAAUGGCCCCAACGGCUCCCUCCUAGCCCUGUGUGAGACUGUGGUGAGAGCCCUUGCGCGCCAGGGCCAGGGCAGGCUGGGAGAGGUGAAGAAGUUCAUGUCCACCAGGAGUGGCUCCUCUAUCACCUGCUGCUUCACCUCCUUGGAUAAGGGUUUUCUCUAUGCUGGAAACAAGGCUGGGGAAAUCCAAGUAUGGAACCUCAGUCACAGCCACGCCCUCCACAAUUUCAAGGCGCACUCCUCAUCUGUGGUUUGUAUCCGCAGCCGGUCCGAGGCCAACACCCUGCUAACAGCCGGCCACGAAGGCUUGAUGAAGGAGUGGAACCUUACUUCAGGGACCCUGCUUCGGCAACUAGAACUUGGUGAGGAGCUGUACCGCCUCCAGUUUAUUGAUGACACUACCUUCUUCUGCCAAAGUACCCAUACGUUUUCCUUGUACCGUCUACCCUGCUUCUAUAAUCUCUUCCACGUCUGUGGGUCUGCUCCCCAGCAGGUACAUCGGGUCUGCUGUGGCGAUAACUGGUACAGGAUCCUGUGCAUUACAGAAGAUGGCCUGUUGCGCUUUGUGUCCCCAUUAACAGGGGAUCUUCUGCUUUUCACCUGGCCCCUCUCCAUCCUGGACGAGGCUGUGGAUUGGGCCUAUGACCCGCGUAAAGAGGAGCUCUUUGUGGCAACGGGCAGCACAGACGUGCUGGUGUUUGACACAACCCGCUGUCCUUGCCCAGCCAAAUAUCUUUUAUGCACCUCACCAAAUCCUCAGGACUUUGUACACUGCCUGGCUUACGGGCAUUUCCACCUGGGGCGAGGGAUGGAAGGACUGAUAUUCUCUGGGCACCAGAGUGGUAUAAUAAGAGUGCUUUCUCAGCAUAGCUUUGCCCGAAUAGAGAAAUUCAUACACUAUGGGGCUGUACUGGCACUCUCUACGCUGUCUGCGAGGCUUCUGAGUGGCCGGGAAAACUCUUUGCUGUGUUCCUAUGGGAUGGAUGACUAUAUACACUUAUCAGAAGUUGUGCUUGAUAGGAGCAAAGUACAACUGCAGCUCCUUGCAAGCAUUCUCAGCAGCUGUCCCCUAAAACAACUGGUAC
This 1871-nucleotide long non-coding RNA is filed under the name Chinchilla lanigera (long-tailed chinchilla). RNAcentral describes it as "lncRNA (ENSCLAG00000027773.1)". Lineage: Eukaryota; Metazoa; Chordata; Mammalia; Rodentia; Chinchillidae. The record is from RNAcentral.